AUACGGAGGGUGCAAGCGUUACGCGGAAUCACUGGGCGUAAAGCGCGCGCAGGCGGCUUGAUAAGUUGGAUGUGAAAGCCUACGGCUCAACCGUAGAACUGCAUCCAAAACUGUCAGGCUAGAGUGUGAGAGAGGAAGAUGGAAUUAGUUGUGUAGGGGUAAAAUCCGUAGAGAUAACUAGGAAUACCAAAAGCGAAGGCAAUCUUCUGGAACACUACUGACGCUGAGGCGCGAAGGCGUGGGGUGCAAACAGAAUUAGAAACCCCAGUAGUCC
This 274-nucleotide ribosomal RNA is filed under the name uncultured bacterium. Its description in RNAcentral is "partial 16S ribosomal RNA". It matches the Rfam family "Bacterial small subunit ribosomal RNA", at positions 523 to 796 of the family's 1533-position model. The record is from RNAcentral.